AUCUCCCCGCUGUCUCAAAUGCGGACUCAGCGAAAUUGAACUGUGUGUCAAGAUGCACACUACCCGCGGUUAGACGGAAAGACCCCAUGCACCUUUACUCCAGCUUUGCACUGGUAUCAGGAUUGUGAUGUGCAGGAUAGGUGGUAGGCAUCGAAGCAGGGACGCUAGUUCUUGUGGAGCCUCCCUUGAGAUACCACCCUUCGCACUCUUGAUAUCUAACCGCGGCCCGUUAUCCGGGUCCGGGACCCUGCAUGGUGGGGAGUUUGACUGGGGCGGUCGCCUCCCAAACAGUAACGGAGGCGCGCGAAGGUAGGCUCAGACCGGUCGGAAAUCGGUCGUUGAGUGCAAUGGCAGAAGCCUGCCUGACUGCAAGACUGACAAGUCGAGCAGAGACGAAAGUCGGUCAUAGUGAUCCGGUGGUCCCAAGUGGGAGGGCCAUCGCUCAACGGAUAAAAGGUACGCUGGGGAUAACAGGCUGAUGAUGCCCAAGAGUCCAUAUCGACGGCAUCGUUUGGCACCUCGAUGUCGGCUCAUCUCAUCCUGGGGCUGGAGCAGGUCCCAAGGGUACGGCUGUUCGCCGUUUAAAGAGGUACGUGAGCUGGGUUUAGAACGUCGUGAGACAGUUCGGUCCCUAUCUGCCGUGGGUGUAGGAGACUUGAGAAGAGUUGCCCCUAGUACGAGAGGACCGGGGUGAACGAACCACUGGUGGACCAGUUAUCGUGCCAACGGUAGUGCUGGGUAGCUAUGUUCGGACAGGAUAACCGCUGAAGGCAUCUAAGCGGGAAGCCCCCUUCAAAACAAGGUCUCCCUUGAGAGCCGUGGAAGACCACCACGUCGAUAGGCCAGAGAUGUAAGUGCAGCAAUGCAUUCAGUUGACUGGUACUAAUUGCUCGAUAGGCUUGAUUUG
RNAcentral lists this ribosomal RNA (907 nucleotides) under marine metagenome. RNAcentral's name for it is "bacterial LSU rRNA". It matches the Rfam family "Bacterial large subunit ribosomal RNA", at positions 2007 to 2925 of the family's 2925-position model. The record is from RNAcentral.